CGUGAUGACGAAGCACUACGGUGCUGAAGCGACAAAUGCCCUGCUUCCAGGAAAAGCCUCUAAGCAUCAGGUAACAUCAAAUCGUACCCCAAACCGACACAGGUGGUCAGGUAGAGAAUACCAAGGCGCUUGAGAGAACUCGGGUGAAGGAACUAGGCAAAAUGGUGCCGUAACUUCGGGAGAAGGCACGCUGAUAUGUAGGUGAAGCGACUUGCUCGUGGAGCUGAAAUCAGUCGAAGAUACCAGCUGGCUGCAACUGUUUAUUAAAAACACAGCACUGUGCAAACACGAAAGUGGACGUAUACGGUGUGACGCCUGCCCGGUGCCGGAAGGUUAAUUGAUGGGGUUAGCGGUAACGCGAAGCUCUUGAUCGAAGCCCCGGUAAACGGCGGCCGUAACUAUAACGGUCCUAAGGUAGCGAAAUUCCUUGUCGGGUAAGUUCCGACCUGCACGAAUGGCGUAAUGAUGGCCAGGCUGUCUCCACCCGAGACUCAGUGAAAUUGAACUCGCUGUGAAGAUGCAGUGUACCCGCGGCAAGACGGAAAGACCCCGUGAACCUUUACUAUAGCUUGACACUGAACAUUGAGCCUUGAUGUGUAGGAUAGGUGGGAGGCUUUGAAGUGUGGACGCCAGUCUGCAUGGAGCCGACCUUGAAAUACCACCCUUUAAUGUUUGAUGUUCUAACGUUGGCCCGUAAUCCGGGUUGCGGACAGUGUCUGGUGGGUAGUUUGACUGGGGCGGUCUCCUCCUAAAGAGUAACGGAGGAGCACGAAGGUUGGCUAAUCCUGGUCGGACAUCAGGAGGUUAGUGCAAUGGCAUAAGCCAGCUUGACUGCGAGCGUGACGGCGCGAGCAGGUGCGAAAGCAGGUCAUAGUGAUCCGGUGGUUCUGAAUGGAAGGGCCAUCGCUCAACGGAUAAAAGGUACUCCGGGGAUAACAGGCUGAUACCGCCCAAGAGUUCAUAUCGACGGCGGUGUUUGGCACCUCGAUGUCGGCUCAUCACAUCCUGGGGCUGAAGUAGGUCCCAAGGGUAUGGCUGUUCGCCAUUUAAAGUGGUACGCGAGCUGGGUUUAGAACGUCGUGAGACAGUUCGGUCCCUAUCUGCCGUGGGCGCUGGAGAACUGAGGGGGGCUGCUCCUAGUACGAGAGGACCGGAGUGGACGCAUCACUGGUGUUCGGGUUGUCAUGCCAAUGGCACUGCCCGGUAGCUAAAUGCGGAAGAGAUAAGUGCUGAAAGCAUCUAAGCACGAAACUUGCCCCGAGAUGAGUUCUCCCUGAGACUUAGAGUCUCCUGAAGGAACGUUGAAGACGACGACGUUGAUAGGCCGGGUGUGUAAGCGCAGCGAUGCGUUGAGCUAACCGGUACUAAUGAACCGUGAGGCUUAACCUUACAACGCCGAAG
This 1401-nucleotide ribosomal RNA is filed under the name Escherichia coli. RNAcentral describes it as "partial 23S ribosomal RNA". It matches the Rfam family "Bacterial large subunit ribosomal RNA", at positions 1562 to 2925 of the family's 2925-position model. Lineage: Bacteria; Pseudomonadati; Pseudomonadota; Gammaproteobacteria; Enterobacterales; Enterobacteriaceae. The record is from RNAcentral.